UGGGGAAUAUUGCACAAUGGAGGAAACUCUGAUGCAGCGACGCCGCGUGGAGGAAGAAGGUCUUCGGAUUGUAAACUCCUGUUGUUGGGACGAAAGUAAUGACGGUACCAACAAGGAAGUGACGGCUAACUACGUGCCAGCAGCCGCGGUAAAACGUAGGUCACAAGCGUUGUCCGGAAUUACUGGGUGUAAAGGGAGCGCAGGCGGGUAAG
RNAcentral lists this ribosomal RNA (212 nucleotides) under uncultured bacterium. Its description in RNAcentral is "partial 16S ribosomal RNA". It matches the Rfam family "Bacterial small subunit ribosomal RNA", at positions 355 to 583 of the family's 1533-position model. The record is from RNAcentral.